GAUGAACGCUGGCGGCGUGCCUAAUACAUGCAAGUCGAGCGAACAGACGAGGAGCUUGCUCCUCUGACGUUAGCGGCGGACGGGUGAGUAACACGUGGAUAACCUACCUAUAAGACUGGGAUAACUUCGGGAAACCGGAGCUAAUACCGGAUAAUAUAUUGAACCGCAUGGUUCAAUAGUGAAAGACGGUUUUGCUGUCACUUAUAGAUGGAUCCGCGCCGCAUUAGCUAGUUGGUAAGGUAACGGCUUACCAAGGCAACGAUGCGUAGCCGACCUGAGAGGGGGGGAGGCCACAGUGGGACGGGGACCGGGACCAGAGGGCGCCGGGAGGCAGCAGGAGGGAAUCGGCGGGAAUGGGCGGAAGCCGGACAGAACAACGCAGAGGGAAGGAAAGAGGUCUUCGGAUAGGAAAACUGUGUGAUGAGGAAAGAACAAAUGGGCAAGGAACUAUGCACGUCAUGACGGUACCUAAUCAGAAAGCGACGACUAACCACGUG
Molecule: ribosomal RNA, 497 nt
Filed under: uncultured bacterium
Lineage: Bacteria
Description: partial 16S ribosomal RNA
Rfam family: Bacterial small subunit ribosomal RNA
Source: RNAcentral